UUAGGUUUCUAAUGUAGCAUGAUGAUGAUAGACUUUAUGAGAAGUCAUGUUGUUUGAAGAAAAAGGACUAUACAGUCGACAAGGUUCUUUGCUAACCCGUUGGCUGCUACCCUUGAAUCUCCCUGUUUACUUCCUUACCUUUGAUUUAAGGGUAAUCCUUCGCUACUGAUCACACCCAAUGGUGAAAAACGACGAGAGAAUGCUGUAAUCCAAGACUGAUACAUUGUGUAGUUGAUGGAUAAAUGACAAGUGCAUAUCUGGGCUCCCUUCUUUUCUGUGGCCCCGUUUCCCUAACUGUUCCAGAGAAAAAGAAGGCUUAAUUUAAAUGUAUAUUUUAAUUCAUGUCCCCAUCUUAUUUUUAUUCUGAAGUAUCGAUUAAUUUAAGUAAGCCGCCAGGUGGGCCACUUGUCGUGCAGUAGAAAACAGCUGAUGUCUCAAUUAAGUGUCUUGGCCGAAACAGAAAGUCGCCAUUGUUCAUUUUCAUGGCGUGUAUAGCCACUGAUAACUCGUUUCUUACUGUGCUUUAUUGAUGGGAAUUCUCAUCUUGUGACUCCCUAUUUCUUAUCUGAUUCUCUGAGAUUAGGCUGGAUUAGGCCCUAGAUUUGAUUUCGUGUCAUUUGUGUCUACGAUUGCCUUAU
This is a long non-coding RNA of Daphnia pulicaria, 638 nucleotides long. RefSeq lists it as uncharacterized. The transcript has 3 exons. NCBI's taxonomy places the organism in Eukaryota, Metazoa, Arthropoda, Branchiopoda, Diplostraca, Daphniidae. The record is from RefSeq and is a predicted model, not a curated record.